CACGUAGGGGCCAAGCGUUGUCCGGAUUUAUUGGGCGUAAAGAGCUCGUAGGCGGUUGGGUAAGUCGGGUGUGAAAACUCCGGGCUCAACUCGGAGACGCCACCCGAUACUGCUCUGACUUGAGUCCGGUAGGGGAGUGGGGAAGUUCCUGGUGUAGCGGUGAAAUGCGCAGAUAUCAGGAGGAACACCGGUGGCGAAGGCGCCACUCUGGGCCGAAACUGACGCUGAGGAGCGAAAGCGUGGGUAGCAAACAGG
RNAcentral lists this ribosomal RNA (255 nucleotides) under uncultured bacterium. Its description in RNAcentral is "partial 16S ribosomal RNA". It matches the Rfam family "Bacterial small subunit ribosomal RNA", at positions 524 to 776 of the family's 1533-position model. The record is from RNAcentral.